RNAcentral lists this ribosomal RNA (1047 nucleotides) under unidentified archaeon. Its description in RNAcentral is "16S ribosomal RNA". The record is from RNAcentral.
GGGUCUCGCUCGUUACCUGACUUAACAGGAUGCUUCACAGUACGAACUGACGACGGCCAUGCACCACCUCUCAGCUAAUCCGGCAAAGUCUUCAGCCUGGCCUUCAUAUUGCUGUCGGUCCCGGUAAGAUUUCCGGCGUUGAAUCCAAUUAAACCGCAAGCUCCACCCGUUGUGGUGCUCCCCCGCCAAUUCCUUUAAGUUUCAGCCUUGCGGCCGUACUUCCCAGGUGGCUCGCUUCACGGCUUCCCUACGGCACCGACAACGGUCGCACCGUGGCCGACACCUAGCGAGUAUCGUUUACGGCUAGGACUACCCGGGUAUCUAAUCCGGUUCGUGCCCCCUAGCUUUCGUCCCUUGCCGUCAGGUCCGUUCUGGUGAGACGCCUUCGCCACUGGUGGUCCUUCAAGGAUUACAAGAUUUCACCCCUUACCCCUGAAGUACCUCUCACCUCUCCCGGCCUCGAGCCAGACAGUAUCUCCUGAAAGCCUGACAGUUAAGCUGCCAGAUUUCUCAAGAGACUUAUCCGGCCGGCUACAGACCCUUUAGACCCAAUAAUAACGGUUACCACUCGAGCCGCCGGUGUUACCGCGGCGGCUGGCACCGGUCUUGCCCGGCCCUUGCUAUGAAAUGCUUUUUAGGCAUCUCGACAGCCAGAUUUGUAACCUGGCACUCGAGGUUCCCUUAUCGCUGUUGCCAGCAUUGUAAAGUUUUCGCGCCUGCUGCACCCCGUAGGGCCUGGAUUCGUGUCUCAGAAUCCAUCUCCGGGCUCUUGCUCUCACAACCCGUACCCGUCGUAGGCUAGUAGGUACGCUACACCCACUACUACCUGAUAGGCCGCAGACCCAUCCUUAGGCGCCGGAGCUUUUAAUCUCGGUGCAUUCCAGCAGCCGAGACUUAUAGGGGAUUAUACCCAGUUUCCCGGGUUUAUACCCAACCUAAGGGCAGGUUGUCCACGUGUUACUGAGCAGUACGCCAUGUAUUGCUACAUUCGACUCGCAUGGCUUAGUCGAACCUCGAUAGCAGUAACCUCUGGCAGGAUCAACCGGA